RNAcentral lists this transfer RNA (61 nucleotides) under Carychium tridentatum. Its description in RNAcentral is "tRNA-Trp". Lineage: Eukaryota; Metazoa; Mollusca; Gastropoda; Ellobiida; Ellobiidae. The record is from RNAcentral.
AAGUUGAUAGGUUAAUUAAACCAUUGGCCUUCAAAGCCGAAAAUAGGCUCACUUCAACUUG